UACAGAGGGUGCGAGCGUUAAUCGGAUUUACUGGGCGUAAAGCGUGCGUAGGCGGCUGAUUAAGUCGGAUGUGAAAUCCCUGAGCUUAACUUAGGAAUUGCAUUCGAUACUGGUCAGCUAGAGUAUGGGAGAGGAUGGUAGAAUUCCAGGUGUAGCGGUGAAAUGCGUAGAGAUCUGGAGGAAUACCGAUGGCGAAGGCAGCCAUCUGGCCUAAUACUGACGCUGAGGUACGAAAGCAUGGGGAGCAACAAGGAUUAGAUACCCUGGUAGUCCAUGCCGUAAACGAUGUCUACUAGCCGUUGGGGCCUUUGAGGCUUUAGUGGCGCAGCUAACGCGAUAAGUACUCCGCCUGGGAAGUACGGUCGCAAGAUUAAA
Molecule: ribosomal RNA, 375 nt
Filed under: uncultured bacterium
Lineage: Bacteria
Description: bacterial SSU rRNA
Rfam family: Bacterial small subunit ribosomal RNA
Source: RNAcentral